This is a long non-coding RNA of Neopsephotus bourkii (Bourke's parrot), 1206 nucleotides long. RefSeq lists it as uncharacterized. Lineage: Eukaryota; Metazoa; Chordata; Aves; Psittaciformes; Psittacidae. The record is from RefSeq and is a predicted model, not a curated record. The transcript has 3 exons.
ACUACAGGGCAAGGGUCCCAUGUACUUUCUCCAGGUCAGCAGGAAAACUUGCAGUGACGUUGCAGACCCAUCUCUCUUUCCUCUCCCAAUAAAUAAAUGCAUAAUGUAGUGCUAUAAAAAUGCUAUUUUGCAGGAAAAGUCGAGGUUACCUUGCCCACAUAGGACCAGUUGAAAGAACUCUGGCUCAGAAAAAAGACGGAUGGUGCUUUUGAGUCACUUUGCUGUACUGCUGGCUGUGAAAGUGAGAGAACAGCUUUUGCAGAUGAAAGGCCAACGAUGAUAACACUGGAAUGUGACCUCAGACAUUUAUCAGAAUGACAUUGUCUGUCAGACGAUAUGGCAUUCUUAUUUUUCUGACCACUUUUGGCAUGGAAUCAGGUUUUCCUAGAACUGUGAUUUGUCUUCACUUUGUUCUGGAAAGGUUCGAUAACAGCUACUCCUCCACUUCAGAAUGGUAUUUUAUGACACGCUGAUUAUGAAGCAUAUGAAGUUACUGCACGGUUCCCUUGAAGUCAGUAACUGUCCACAACCAGAAAGGGUAUCUUCUUUUUGACCUUCUCUACUUAGCAGCCAUCUUAGGACCCAUAUCUGGUCAUAUUACAGUGUAACUUACUAGCAAACUGACCAUUUGAAAAGAGCAGUUCUGUCAUGGUUUAAAGAGGAGCUAUGUUGUUAACACAGGAAAAAAAAAUAUUGUGGACAAGGAAUGGAAUUAAAAUCAAACUUACCUAAUUUAUAGCUGGAUCCAAAGCUAACCAAAGCCGGUGGGAAUUUUUCCACUGGCUUCAUUAAACUUUGCAUAUUUGCCCAAAGAAGUGCUAGUAAUACAGCCCAGCCAGGCCCUGGGAGAUGCUCCAACCCCUUGCUCUCGGCUGACCUUCUUUUGCUGGCGUACAGAGCUGCUAGGGUGAUAAUAGUGCUACAUAUAGUACCGAGGGCAGGCUAAACUAAAACCUGAAAUGAAAAAAUAUUGUAGGAAAAUACUCACUAAAAAGGAAAAGCUAAAUGUAAACAGUAAAUGAUAGCAGUAUUAUGGGUUCCUUUGCCUUUAGGCUAGUGCUUACACAUUUAUAGAUAAUGACAUGCAGACAUUAGUUUAAGAUGCUUAUUGAUGCUUUGUAGACUAAAGUUUUAAGCAAAACAGAAGGCAAGAGCAGGCAAGUUUCCAAAAUCUGUAUAUAUUGUGAAAUAAAAAAGUACAUUUAA